UCAGAGAAAUAAAAUAUAGUAAAUGUAUGGG
RNAcentral lists this non-coding RNA (31 nucleotides) under Mus musculus (house mouse). The record is from RNAcentral. Lineage: Eukaryota; Metazoa; Chordata; Mammalia; Rodentia; Muridae.